UGUCGCUCAACGGAUAAAAGGUACCCCGGGGAUAACAGGCUGAUCUUCCCCAAGAGUCCAUAUCGACGGGAUGGUUUGGCACCUCGAUGUCGGCUCGUCGCAUCCUGGGGCUGGAGUCGGUCCCAAGGGUUGGGCUGUUCGCCCAUUAAAGCGGUACGCGAGCUGGGUUUAGAACGUCGUGAGACAGUUCGGUCCCUAUCCGCUGUGCGCGUAGGAAUAUUGAGAAGGGCUGUCCCUAGUACGAGAGGACCGGGACGGACGAACCUCUGGUGUGCCAGUUGUCCUGCCAAGGGCAUGGCUGGUUGGCUACGUUCGGAAAGGAUAACCGCUGAAAGCAUCUAAGCGGGAAGCCUGCUUCGAGAUGAGUAUUCCCACCCUCUUGAGGGGUUAAGGCUCCCAGUAGACGACUGGGUUGAUAGGCCAGAUGUGGAAGCCCGGUAACGGGUGGAGCUGACUGGUACUAAUAGGCCGAGGGCUUGUCCUC
This 484-nucleotide ribosomal RNA is filed under the name Streptomyces sp. ScaeMP-e83. Its description in RNAcentral is "bacterial LSU rRNA". It matches the Rfam family "Bacterial large subunit ribosomal RNA", at positions 2443 to 2925 of the family's 2925-position model. Lineage: Bacteria; Bacillati; Actinomycetota; Actinomycetes; Kitasatosporales; Streptomycetaceae. The record is from RNAcentral.